UAUCAUACUACUUGGUCAUAUAUGUCAUUUGGAAAGUUCCUAUCCCUAUUAGGGGAACAGUCCAUUGACUUAAAAAUUUCUGCCUUUGGCCAGUCCUCAAAAAUCAUGACAGUAAGAAUAAUGGGGUGGGGAGAAGUAGGCUACAGCUUUACUGUGUGUGAUACAGAUGAGCAACUGAGUGUGAACAAAGGCAUAGGGAGUGAAGAAAGGCAGAUCCCUGGAACUCACUGGCCAUUCAGCUUGGGGAAUUGGCGAGCUUUAAGUUCUGUGAGAAACCAUGUUUUAACACAUGUUUUAAGAAAUAAGAUAGGGGGGUUGGGGAUUUAGCUCAGUGGUAGAGCACUUGCCUAGCAAGCACAAAGCCCUGGGUUCAGUCCCCAGCUCCGAAAAAAA
Molecule: long non-coding RNA, 393 nt
Filed under: Rattus norvegicus (Norway rat)
Lineage: Eukaryota; Metazoa; Chordata; Mammalia; Rodentia; Muridae
Description: long non-coding RNA NONRATT021800
Rfam family: tRNA (bases 318-386)
Source: RNAcentral